Molecule: ribosomal RNA, 1673 nt
Filed under: Triticum aestivum (bread wheat)
Lineage: Eukaryota; Viridiplantae; Streptophyta; Magnoliopsida; Poales; Poaceae
Description: partial small subunit ribosomal RNA
Source: RNAcentral
AUCGGAAUCACCGAACUGCCACCCCACCGCCACCCACCCCGUCCCCGGAGCGAAAAGGCAGGCAGGGGGAAAACGGGAUUUUUUGCCGCAAGCGAGGCGAGCGCCAGAGCGAGCGAGAGAGCUUUUUCCUCCCCCCCGACAUGACACCGCAUCUGCCCGUGUCGCCCCACCCCGCCCACCACCUGCUCGACGCGCUGCCCCCGUCGCCGCACCACCGCCGCCUCCGCAGGCGCCGCCGCUUCUGCCCGCCGCGCCCCAGGGCAUCAUCCUCCCCCUCCUCCCUCCGCUGCCGCGCUGCCGCCGCCGCCGCGCCGCAGCCGGCGGCGGCGGCGGCAGCGAGGACGAGGGUGUUCGUCGUGUCGGACCUGCACACCGACUACCCGGAGAACAUGGAGUGGGUGCGCCGGCUCGCGGUGCGGGCGGGGCCGCCGGGCGCCGGGGAGGGCUUCGACGCGCUCGUCGUCGCCGGGGACGUGGCGGAGACCAGGGACAACUUCGCGCGCACCAUGGAGGCCCUCAGGGCGCGCUUCGACGCCGUCUUCUACGUGCCCGGCAACCACGACCUCUGGCUGCGCCGCGAGGGUGGCCGCUACGUGGAUUCGAUGGAGAAACUGACUGCAUUGCUUGAGGCGUGUAGUGAGCUGGGUGUGGAUACAGGCCCUAGAACGAUAGGUGACUUAGGGAUCAUACCAUUGUUUUCAUGGUAUCACAAGAGCUUUGACAAGGAAAAGGAUGUUAACAGUGUGCGUGUUCCUUCGUUGGAGAUGGCUUGUAAAGACUUUCAUGCUUGCCAAUGGCCUUCGGACUUGGGAAGUGAUGAUGAGGCUCUUGCUCUUUACUUUGACAAGUUGAAUGACAAGAACAAUGAUGCUAUUGAAGAAGUGAAAAAGAAGAGCAAACAGAUACUUACAUUUUCACACUUUGUACCAAGGCAAGAGUUAUGUCCAGAGAAGCGAAUGCUUUACUAUCCAAACCUUCCGAAGGUCAUCGGCUCUGAUUAUUUGGAAAGAAGGCUGAGAGCUAUACACAACAACGCUAAAGAUGGAGCAGCCUGCCAUGUAUUCGGGCAUACACAUUUCUGUUGGGAUUCUGUGGUUGAUGGUAUCAGGUAUGUACAGGCGCCUCUAGCAUACCCUCGGGAAAGAAAGCGAAGGAUAAACGGAGGCCAAGGAUGGUUGCCUUUUUGUGUAUAUCGUGAUGGCUUCAACCCUGAAAUAUACCCGGCUAUAUGGUCCGACUAUUACAACAAGAACAGAAGGGAGCCCGAGAACACCCAGCUUGCACCGUGGGUUGCCAAAUAUUUUUCGAAGUACUACGGACCCCCUGUUUUUGCCAAACAAACUGAAUCCGGUUGAGCUGUCCGGUACGACAUUGAAAUCCGCAUCAAACAGAGAAAAAGAAAAAAAAAGGAGAUAUUGACAUUUUACAUGUACAUGGUUUUUUUCUUUCUUCCCUUUUUGUAAUUUUUGUUGUUUCCUUUGCUACAACUCACAACUCUUGGGCAACGAAUGGCCCCCUUGUGUUGGAUGUAUGCUGAAAAAAACAAUGUAAAGAUGCUUGUAAGCAGCCUCGCUGCAAAGAUAGUGACAUGCAGAAGCCAUUAGAUAUCUCUCUCUUCAUCUACGGCGUGGCUGAUGGGUCUCCGUCUCACUGCUCUUUUUUGUUGUGUCGCG